This 554-nucleotide ribosomal RNA is filed under the name uncultured bacterium. Its description in RNAcentral is "bacterial SSU rRNA". It matches the Rfam family "Bacterial small subunit ribosomal RNA", at positions 339 to 906 of the family's 1533-position model. The record is from RNAcentral.
CUACGGGAGGCAGCAGUGGGGAAUUUUCCGCAAUGGGCGAAAGCCUGACGGAGCAAUACCGCGUGAGGGAAGACUGCCUAUGGGUUGUAAACCUCUUUUUUCAGGGAGGAAUCAAUGACGUGUACCUGAAGAAUAAGCAUCGGCUAACUCCGUGCCAGCAGCCGCGGUAAGACGGAGGAUGCAAGUGUUAUCCGGAAUCACUGGGCGUAAAGCGUCUGUAGGUGGUUUAAUAAGUCAACUGUUAAAUCUUGAGGCUCAACUUCAAAAUCGCAGUCGAAACUAUUAGACUAGAGUAUAGUAGAGGUAAAGGGAAUUUCCAGUGGAGCGGUGAAAUGCGUAGAUAUUGGAAAGAACACCGAUGGCGAAAGCACUUUACUGGGCUAUUACUAACACUCAGAGACGAAAGCUAGGGUAGCAAAUGGGAUUAGAUACCCCAGUAGUCCUAGCCGUAAACAAUGGAUACUAGAUGUUGAACAGAUCGACCUGUGCAGUAUCAAAGCUAACGCGUUAAGUAUCCCGCCUGGGAAGUAUGCUCGCAAGAGUGAAACUCAAAG